RNAcentral lists this ribosomal RNA (584 nucleotides) under uncultured bacterium. RNAcentral describes it as "partial 16S ribosomal RNA". It matches the Rfam family "Bacterial small subunit ribosomal RNA", at positions 355 to 936 of the family's 1533-position model. The record is from RNAcentral.
UGGGGAAUAUUGCACAAUGGGCGCAAGCCUGAUGCAGCCAUGCCGCGUGUGUGAAGAAGGCCUUCGGGUUGUAAAGCACUUUCAGCGAGGAGGAAGGUGGUGAGCUUAAUACGCUCAUCAAUUGACGUUACUCGCAGAAGAAGCACCGGCUAACUCCGUGCCAGCAGCCGCGGUAAUACGGAGGGUGCAAGCGUUAAUCGGAAUUACUGGGCGUAAAGCGCACGCAGGCGGUUUGUUAAGUCAGAUGUGAAAUCCCCGGGCUCAACCUGGGAACUGCAUUUGAAACUGGCAAGCUAGAGUCUCGUAGAGGGGGGUAGAAUUCCAGGUGUAGCGGUGAAAUGCGUAGAGAUCUGGAGGAAUACCGGUGGCGAAGGCGGCCCCCUGGACGAAGACUGACGCUCAGGUGCGAAAGCGUGGGGCAGCAAACAGGAUUAGAUACCCUGGUAGUCCAGCGCUGUAAACGAUGUCGAUUUGGAGGUUGUGCCCUUGAGGCGUGGCUUCCGGAGCUAACGCGUUAAAUCGACCGCCUGGGGAGUACGGCCGCAAGGUUAAAACUUAAAUGAAUUGACGGGUCUAGCUGUUCC